Molecule: long non-coding RNA, 835 nt
Organism: Camelus dromedarius (Arabian camel)
Lineage: Eukaryota; Metazoa; Chordata; Mammalia; Artiodactyla; Camelidae
Exons: 2
Source: RefSeq, a predicted model, not a curated record
UGAGCAGAAUGACUCACAUCUUACAGGGUGUGCAAAUUGAAAUUUCGAAACUCUCCAGAGUAGAGGUGGCAGUGCCAUAACUCGAUACGGGAGAAGUAUGCCAGCCAGAUGACAUUGCCAGCCAGCAUGCUGCCAAAGACUUCACAAAAUGUCUCUCUCAUGGGAAAGAAAAGCAUUUGGAUGGCUCUCUGCACGUGUUCAAGGCGCCAUUGCUGAAAAGAUACCAGGAAUUCUGGGUCUGCGAUGCUUACUCAAAGAAGAGGGCUGUAUUUUUAGGCAAUUAUAUUUGUCUGAAAGAUAAAGUCCUGCCAGCCGGGUGAACUAGCAGCAAAACUGAUUGUUAGCUGCAGAUCUCACUUCCCUUCAUUUGAUAGCUAGUUACCAAAGAUGGCCCUCAUCCCGCAAUGAACCGCACGUCCUGGUAUUCUGCACAAAAUAUGCCUUCGUGUAGUCCUUUCCUUUUGAAGUCAAAGGAAGCCUUGCAGCUUCCACUUGGGUCUCUUGGAACACUGGCUCUCGGGGGGGGGGGGGGGGGGACAGCUGCCAGGUAAGAAGUUUGACUACCCCGAGACUUCUAUGUUUCGAGGAAGUUCCAGCUGCCACCCGAAGAGGUUGUGUGGAGAGAGAUAUAUCUGGUAAGCCCCUCGCUAUUUCAGGCGUCCCAACUGAUAAGCCGGGCAUGUGACCAAAGGAGCCAUCUUGGACAUCCAGCCGAAUUGAGCCUUCAGAUGGCUCCAUCCAUCUGACUUCAAAGAUGGGGGAGGACCCAAAACCACCUAACUGAGCUCAGUCAACCUACAGGACCACAAGAGAUAAUAAUAAAUUUUUAAGCUAC